Physeter macrocephalus (sperm whale) is the source of this 5820-nucleotide RNA transcript. It is a transcript of the gene named beta-1,3-galactosyltransferase 1, with no coding region annotated. NCBI's taxonomy places the organism in Eukaryota, Metazoa, Chordata, Mammalia, Artiodactyla, Physeteridae. The transcript is spliced from 5 exons. The record is from RefSeq and is a predicted model, not a curated record.
UCAUGGUCCAACUGACUUCCGGAGAAUAAAUCAUUGUCCUUGUACUUCAUAAGAGACAACAAACAAUGAUUUUGUUGUUGACGUAUAUGAGGCUGCAUUCAUUUGACGACAACAUAUUUUAAUCACCAACAAGUAUCCUAAAAUUUUGGAUUUUAAUGCCCUGAAAGAUCAACUUUUAAUCAGUUAUUGAUUACAAUUUGAGGAGCCUUGUGUCCAGGCUAAAUGCAGUGUGAUUUAUUCUAUGCUUUUGCAGCAUGGAUCAAACAGUGGCUUACUAUGCUAACACGUGAAGAGAAAAAAUUAUCUAGAGCAGGCUCCGGAUGCGCAGGCUCAGUGGCCAUGGUUCACGGGCCCAGCCACUACGCGGCACGUGGGAUCUUCCCGGACCGGGGCACGAACCCGUGUCCCCUGCAUCGGCAGGCGGACUCUCAACCACUGCGCCACCAGGGAAGCCCACUAAUUUUUAAAUGAUACUGUUUAAUGCUGAUGAGGUUACUUUAGGUAAUCCUUCCCAUGUGCAAUUUGUAGUAGGAAAUUUAACCUUCCUGGAAAACCUAAUGUUUCUGCCUUUUUAACCAAUAAUGUGAGUUCUAGAACUCUAUAAGAAGGAAGAUAAAUAUAAAUGCAGAUAAAGAUUUGGGAAUAAGGAAAUUUUUUAUGCUGUUAUUUGAGACAAAAAUUUUAAGCCAAUUAAAUGUUCACAGUAUGAAAUUAGUUAAAUUAUACUAUAUACAAAUGAUGGCAUAUUUUCUAUCCAGUAAAAGAUGUGUUUACAAAAAAUGAUGAAAUGCUCAUGAUAUAAUGUUACAUAAAAAUAUAAACUGUAAAGAGUAUAAUUCCAGUUUACUUUUUAAAGUAUACACACAUACACAGAGAGAGACAAAGACACACACACACACACACACACACACACACACACACACACACACACACGUCGGGGAGGGGAAAGGGGUUGUAUAUGCAUGUGUAUAUGGAAACCAGACUCAAAGGCAGACCAUCCAAAACCAGAGAUAUAGUGGUUAUCCCUAUAGCUAUAGAUGAUACUCUUUUCUUUCUUACACUUUUCUAUAAUUUUGGGAUUUCAUACCCUCAACUUAUAACACAUAUACUUGGAAAAUAAUUAUUUUUAAUUAGCUCAUGAGACCCCAUCAUUAUAUAAAUGAGUGACAUGGAAUAUAAGAUUACCAAAACACAAAAGUAGGAGGAUAAUCAAAUUCAAAGGAAGACUGUGAGAUACAGUAUUAAGCGCGAUUAUUUUAUAAUUUUUAAGGUCUCCUCUCCUAGUGAGUGAUUUUAACUCUGGUUAAAGCACCGUUUAACAAAAGGAAUUUUUAAAUAGUGUAUUUCGAGCAUUCCCCAAGUUUCCUGCUAUUUAGACUAUAAAUAAGAUUAUGCAACAUUGGAUUUUUUUUUUAAUUUAAUAGUAUUCACAGGGAUCUUAGGAAACUUAAACAGAGAUGCUUCCAUACCCAAAUACAUGAAGAAAUAAUACUACGUGUAUUACCAAUUUCUACACAGCUGAUUGUGUAACCAGCAAUGUCUUAUAUAAAUCGGACAAUAAUAGGAAAUGUGCUUUUAUUACAGGCAGAGCUCUGCUCUAGGUACUGUCAAAAGGCCCAAGAGAAACAAUCAAUAGAGUCCUUACCCUUCAGGGGUCUGUAACCAAAUGAAAGAAACCAGAGUACAAAAAGAACAUCAGAAAAUGUGUUAGACAACUGUACAAAGAGAUGGUUAUGUAACUAUGGGCACACGCGCACACACACACACAAUGACAGGUAUCUAGGAUGCUUUCCCACCUCCACAGAGAUGUUUCUGACUUUUGUAGUCACCCUCAGCACCUCCAGACCUGGAUGUUCUCUCUCCCAUCUUAGGGAUUAUGUCAUUCACAUGACUAGAACAUAGAUGUGAAUGAUGAGGGAUUCUGGCCAUGUAAACCAUGUGACGGGGUGUUUUGUUGGGAAAAUUCCACCCCAUUUUCCCCCAACCAUCCCUUCAUGGAAAUUAACAUGGUAUAGAGGAAAAUCCGUAACCUUGAAAUUAGAAGACGCUGUCCACAUCCCAGUUCUGACACUCACUGAGUUUCUUGAACAUGGGAAAAUUACAUUACCUUACUAAACCUGUUUCCUCUUCUCAAGUGUGAAUGGCAGAACUGAUGACACACGGUUUUCUGAGCAGUAAAUUAGAGAACACAGGUGAAUGAGGUGGUGCAGCAAUGACCCCAAAGGCACUCGAUAAGCUUAGUUGAAAUUGGAUUCAGAGCCUGGAUGUGGAUUAACCAGCAGUGCUUCUCUGUAUCUGACAUACUCUUUGACAAACAUGUCACAAGAAUUUGUUUUAUUGUCAUCGGCUCCCUGCCUUAGUUUCCUAGUCUGUGAAAUGGGACAUUGUAUAACUUCAAUUUCUGCUUUCUAAACAUCUGAGGGUCUACAGUGAGAAAUAUGAUUUAGAUCAUAAGACAAUUGGGAGUAACAUUUAGAAAAACUUUCUGAAUUCCUUUUGCCGUUGUGCACCUUGAGUUUCGUAUUAUUUGGCUUUGUUUUGUCUUUGAAAAACAAUGCUUAGAAUUCUGUCUUUCAGUUCUGGUCUCCACUUAUAUGUGUUUCUUCUCUGUGUACGUGCUAAGGUGUUUUUGUUUUGUUUUUGGUUUGUUUUGUUUUUUAAGAUCAAGUAAUGAUCUUCUCAUAUGGAGUAAAAGUAGAUUGUAGUAACUUCCCAGUGACUACUGGAGAGAAGAGUAAGAGACAAUUAAAAUCACAUUGAAUUUUUCUGAGUAUCAGGCACAAACCAGAUUUAACUUGGAACUAAAAAUAUAUAGUCCCACUGUUCAGUAGAGUUUGGGGAACAUAGAGUUUAUAAUAGAGUUUUUGUACUAACAGAGAUGUAAAAUGAACAAGUAAACAAACUACAUAUAUGGACAUGACACUUGAUGACAUUUAUUAGUAUACCAAUUGCUAAUGAUCAUUAUGAAUCAUCGUAUCUACCAACUAAACACUUUAGGAAAAGCAAAACCUCCUAUGAUAUUGUUAUAGCAUUCCUCCAAAGGAGGACAUUUACAGUCUCCUGAGAACAAUUAAAACAAUAUGACAUAUUUGUACCUUGAUGUCUCUACAGUGUAUUGUCAAUAAUUACCAAGAUAUUUCAAGCACUGAGUGGAUUUACUCCAUUGGGUCCAUAUGCCUAGAACAAUGGUUCUCAACCAGGGGUGAUUUUGCCCUCAGAGGAUAUUUGGCAAUGACAGAAGACAUUUUCCUCUGUCACAACUGACUGGGAGCAUGUAGUGGCUAAAGACCAGAGAUGCCGCUAAACAUCCUACAAUGCACAAGUCAGUCCCCACAACAAAGAAUUAUCUAGCCCAAAUUGUCAGUAGUUCCGAAGUUGAAAACCACUGGCCUAGAACAAGCAUGAAUUUAGGGAUGAUCUGUAACAUAUCCAUUCAUCCAAUCCAUGUGUUUUGAAUACCAAUGCUAAGUACGACAAAAAGUGUAGACGUUUGGUGGAUGUACAUUUGUAGUUGAAUAAUAAACUAGGAAAGAGCUUUUCCUCCUUAACUCUGAAUCAGUUCACCAUUUACUUGCUUCACCUCUCUUGUGUUCUACUUUACUUCUAUUGUCUCCUCUGCAUUUUUUUCUCCUUUUCCUUUCCCUGGUUCUCCCUUCCAUCAACUCCGCGUCCAUUUUCUUCUUCUGUUUCCUUAUGACCCACGCUACACCUUUCCUCUCCUAUACUUUUCAUGUUCCUGUCCUUUUUUUUCUUUCCUCUAAGGUUGAAGUGCUUGAACAUCCUUUCUCAUCAGUGCAUAAAUUGCAUGGAAACACAGAACUAAGUUUUAUGUAUAGUGGACAGAAGGAGAAGAGUCUGUAUGCUUCUUCCAUUAGCAGUUCCUUGAACUCCUUUCCUCGUUUAAGCACAGCUCCUUCACUCUCAUCACACGGGGGAAAAGAUGAAGAAAUCAGCCUGAGACUCUAUCUCUCAGCUGAUUCACUUUUUACUUCAAAACCGGCUCAUUUUUCAAACGAGAUUUCCCCCCAAAAGAAGAAUUUGGGAGUUUCCACCACCAGAUAUUUCAGUAUGAAGAUGGAGACUCUGUGGACAUACUAUACAAUUUUUGCUACUUCAAGUGCUCAUCUCUGAGUCCUCAUAUUCUGGAGGUCUGUCUCUAACUGCUGAGAAAUAUUGCUAAUGUUUCUUGAAACAGAAAUUUGUUCUCCUGUGUUUAACACUCGUCCAACUCAAUUAUUUUUUCAGCUGUAUUAUCACUGAAUAAACUAAAACCUUACAGUGAGCCUAAUGAAUGUAUGGCUUACUCAGAUAAGUCUGGUUAAAUUUGAUGUUUUUAAUAAAGAAAUACACACUAGAAUACAUUGCCUUAGUCAAUAAAGUAAAAGAAAACUUUUUCUUUUCUGUUGAUUCACCUUUGCAUUAAAAAACCUAGUAGGAGUACCAGCUCCUUUGUUAUACUCUGUAUAACAUUAACCAGAGCAUUUAUUAAACUGUAUGUUGCAGAUUCCCUCAUUUAGCAGGCACCCAAUUUAACUGGCAGUUUAAAAUUUUGAGCCUUCUCUAAAUAAGCCAACAGGACAAAAAAAAAAUUAACAAAAACCAAAAGCUUUGCUGUGUAGCAGUUAUUUUCCUCAACCUUGAAAUUUAUCCAUAAGGCGCUUAGUAAAGCCCCUUUGAUGUAACAGAAAGGUCAACUUCAUUGUCACUGUUUUUCUAACAUGCUAUUUGUUGAACAAAUCCUUUUCAUUUACCUCUUUUAAAAAGUUUAAGAGGGAACGCACAUAUGCGAUAAACUGUUGACUUUCACCCAGGCCACCCAGUUCCACAAAGUCAAAAUGAUCAGAGACUGUGCUGUUUCUCACCUUGCUUUCAUCUCAUGGCCUCCAUGGAAGAUGGAAGUAAACUAGCAGUCCUGCCACUGGUUGAUUUACAUUUCAAAGCUUAUAGACCAUCCAUCCACCAUCAAGCAGAAUUAUAGAAAACCAGCUCUCCAAGGUGUUUUCCAAAGAAUUAACCUUGACUUGUCAGCAAUGCAGAUACUUCUAAUGCCAGAUGAAGGAGUGCUUUGAGGGAAAAUGGAGGGCAAUUGAUUUAUCCAUGUAUUCAUAUCCUGAGCCAUGUGUUUAUAUCAUAGUGAUCUGCUUCCUUCUGGAACUGCCUUCACUAAAUUUGCUUUAAUAUUUGUCCUUGGAUUUUAUUGGACUGGUUGUGUGAAAUAUGCUUCAACAUGUGGAUAGUGGCCAUUAUAUAAUUUAAUCUUCUCUCUCUGUGUAAAAGCUGUUCUAGAGUUUAAUGUCAAACUAACUUGAUCUCGGGGCUUCCCUGGUGGCACAGUGGUUGAGAGUCCGCCUGCCGAUGCAGGGGACACGGGUUCAUGCCCCAGUCUGGGAAGAUCCCACAUGCCGCGGAGCGGCUGCGCCUGUGAGCCAUGGCCGCUGAACCUGUGCGUCCGGAGCCUGUGCUCCUCAACGGGAGAGGCCACAACAGUGAGAGGCCCGCGUACCACAAAAAAAAAAAUUAAAAAAAUUUAAAAAAAUAAUAAUAAUAACUUGAUCUCCCCUGAAAAACUGGCAUAUUUAUACUUGUCAUUGUAUUUCUAAUUAUGUAACUAGUCACAUUUCUCAUCUUUGCACUGGCUGCCAGGAAGCUCAAAUUCAAAUCUGCAAAAGCCUCCAGCUAUUAGUAACAGUAACUCUGUCGGUUAACUUAUCUGACUGCUUAUAACUUGGGUCUAUUUUCUAUCUCUUUUUUAUUUGCCUUAUGAUUAUAUCUUCUGCUUUCUACCCCUGAAAUCUUUGUUGGAAAGGGAUGGUAUUUAAA